GGCUAACGGGGUAGUAAGGCAUCGGAACGUACCUUUUCGUCUGGGAUAGCCAUGGGAAACUGUGAGUAAUACCGGAUAAUAUCUUCGGAUCAAAGGUUUACUGCGAUUAGAGCGGCCGAUGUGAGACUAGGUAGUUGGUAGGGUAAUGGCCUACCAAGCCAGAGAUCUCUAGGGGGUGUGAGAGCAUGACCCCCACCACUGGAACUGAGACACUGUCCAGACACCUACGGGUGGCUGCAGUCGAGAAUCUUCGGCAAUGGGCGAAAGCCUGACCGAGCGACGCUGCGUGCGGGAUGAAGGCCCUUGGGUUGUAAACCGCUGUCAGAGGGGAUCAAAGGAAACUUGAGAGAGCCUCAGAGGAAGCGCGGGCUAAGUUCGUGCCAGCAGCCGCGGUAAUACGAACUGCGCAAACGUUAUUCGGAAUCACUGGGCUUACAGGGUGCGUAGGCGGUUCGCCAGGUCAGAUGUGAAAUUCCACAGCUCAACUGUGGAACUGCAUUUGAAACCUGCGAACUUGAGUAGACUAGAGGUACACGGAACUUCAGGUGGAGCGGUGAAAUGUGUUGAGAUCUGAAGGAACACCAGAGGCGAAAGCGGUGUACUGGAGUCUGUCUGACGCUGAGGCACGAAAGCUAGGGGAGCGAACGGGAUUAGAUACCCCGGUAGUCCUAGCCGUAAA
Molecule: ribosomal RNA, 679 nt
Filed under: uncultured Planctomycetota bacterium
Lineage: Bacteria; Pseudomonadati; Planctomycetota
Description: bacterial SSU rRNA
Rfam family: Bacterial small subunit ribosomal RNA
Source: RNAcentral